This is a long non-coding RNA of Cyanistes caeruleus (blue tit), 1592 nucleotides long. RefSeq lists it as uncharacterized. Lineage: Eukaryota; Metazoa; Chordata; Aves; Passeriformes; Paridae. The record is from RefSeq and is a predicted model, not a curated record.
GCCGCGCGCUCCCUCAGCCUCGGCUGUGCCCCAGCUCCGGCCGGGCCUCUCCGGGCGCUGCCAGCGCGGGCGCUUGGUGUGCACGCCUGCAGUGAGUGCACGCCUGCAUGUUGCAGGAGACAGUUUGUCCUGACUGAAUUCCCAAUGACCUGAAAAGACUGACCAAGUCCAGGCAUUUGAACCAAUUUUUAACUUCAAAUGAUGAGUGCUCAGCUACCUGACAGAUUCCAGUUUGGAAAAAUCCAUCUUUCCAGGAGUGAUGGAGCAGAUGUGUCUACUUUAGCAAUGGGCAGCCUAGAAGAUGGACAUUUGACAGGCGACAAUAGACUGCUCCUUUCCCAGCCCCUUUCUGAAACCUUUUAAUACUGAGAGAAGCCCUGCUCAACUUGGAAAGCUCUGAAGAAUUCUGUGGAAGGCUGGGAAGAUUACACAAACCGAACAACUUCUUGUGAUGUCUCUUAAGGAUUCUAUGGAAGAAGGCUUCUGACAGUUCCUCUGGACUGCCAUUUAACAGCUCCAGCAACCAGUGUAGAAUUUGUGUCCCAAGAAGAGAUUUCUGCCAAACGGUGAAGCUCUUGGAAGCUGUGGUUUUGACCUUGCUUUGUCUCUCAGCCUAAGGAGAGAGCUGAACUUGGGAGAAAUGCUCUGAUCACCAGGGUAAGGUACAAAAAGCAGGUCAGUACUUGUCUUUGGUUUUAAUAACAUAAAUAUCCAUCAUUAAUUUCCACACAGAAUCAGUCUCCUAGGUACACACUUCACAUGCUCUGAGCACAGCUACUAUUUCAGAUUUCUCAAAAGGCUUAAGUGAGAUGCACCCAGGUUCUUGCUGUGAACAAGAGGAAGUGGACAUGUGAGGGCCUUAUGCUGCUGCUGAAAGGGGGCUGCUGCUGAGCAUUAGUGAACAUGUGUAGAAAGAGGUGUUUAAGUAGUGAGAAUUUUAACUGGUAAUAUCUCUGGCCUAUAGGACUGGGUUCCAGCUUUGAAGGGUUUGACAAGCAUGAUAUUGACACUACUACAAAUAUACAUGCUAAGCAUAUGUCUGUGAUAGUUAUUCUCAGACAUUUGAAGUCCCAUUAGCCAUUUUUUCUUGUUUGCAUCAUAUAUCUAUGGGAUGUUUGGUAUUUGGUGUAAACAAAAGUUGAUAGCAAAGGAUUUCUAUUUCAUGAACAUAAAGGUAAGAUUUAUCCCAAGUUUCCUUGUGGGGCAAGGCAUUUCCUGCUGUGAAUCAUGUGACAGCCUUGUCUCCUAGGCAAGCAGCCACCUAUAAAUAGUAAAGGAAGGAGGUACAGAAGGACUCAGAAGCAAAGAAUAGCAAAUGGCUACAUUUAUGGUGAGAGUGUGUAAUUAUCUUCCAGUGCAAAUUUCUGCAGAAGUGUGGAAAGGUGUGGUACAGUGAGAGUCAGACUGAACUUCAUACCCUGAGCUGUGGCACAGUUUGCAAUAGUGAGGUACAUGGCUGGUGAUCAAGUUAAAGUAUUCACUAUUCCUAAAAAUAUUGUGGGUCCAGGGUUGAAGGUGACUGUAGCAUUGAUCCCAGAGCAGGCAAGACUGGACUGAAUUAUUCAAAGCUACAAAGGGAAUUUGUGGCCAGA